UACAGAGGUCUCAAGCGUUGUUCGGAUUCAUUGGGCGUAAAGGGUGCGUAGGUGGUGCUGUAAGUCAGGGGUGAAAUCUCGGGGCUCAACCCCGAAACUGCACUUGAUACUGCAGUGCUCGAGGACUGGAGAGGAGAUUGGAAUUCAUGGUGUAGCAGUGAAAUGCGUAGAUAUCAUGAGGAAGACCAGUGGCGAAGGCGGAUCUCUGGACAGUUCCUGACACUGAGGCACGAAGGCCAGGGGAGCAAACGGG
This 253-nucleotide ribosomal RNA is filed under the name uncultured bacterium. Its description in RNAcentral is "partial 16S ribosomal RNA". It matches the Rfam family "Bacterial small subunit ribosomal RNA", at positions 524 to 776 of the family's 1533-position model. The record is from RNAcentral.